GCCCGGAUGGCGGAAUGGUAGACGCGCUCGACUCAAAAUCGAGUGAGGAAACUCAUGAGAGUUCGAGUCUCUCUCCGGGCA
This 81-nucleotide transfer RNA is filed under the name Minisyncoccota bacterium. RNAcentral's name for it is "tRNA-Leu". It matches the Rfam family "tRNA". Rfam says of the family: Transfer RNA (tRNA) molecules are approximately 80 nucleotides in length. Lineage: Bacteria; Bacillati; Minisyncoccota. The record is from RNAcentral.